RNAcentral lists this unclassified non-coding RNA (415 nucleotides) under uncultured marine bacterium 311. Its description in RNAcentral is "partial 16S-23S ribosomal RNA intergenic spacer". The stretch from base 292 to 415 matches the Rfam family "Bacterial large subunit ribosomal RNA", at positions 1 to 124 of the family's 2925-position model. The record is from RNAcentral.
CCUCCUUAAAAAAUAAUCGCUUAGGAUAGGCGUUCACACGAAUAACUUGCCUUUACCUAAAUCAUUUCUUUACAGAUUUGAGAUUAAGGAGCGUUCUUUAACAUUUUUAUAAGCUCAAUCAAGUCACAUCAUAGUGUCUUUGUUUUUUAAUUUAGAUAUGAAUGAUGUGCAAAUGUCACCAAACCCGUCAUGUUUUAGAACAUAAGUUUGGUGUACAUACUGCAAAGUAAUUUUGGCGAAUGACAAUAGAUACUUGAAGAACAUUAAUCAUUAAGUUGUUUGAUGUAAUAUGGUCAAGUAAUUAAGCGCAUACGGUGGAUGCCUUGGCAGCUAGAGGCGAUGAAGGACGUAGUAACUUGCGAUAAGCUUGGGGAGCCGGUAAACAGGCUUUGAUCCGAAGAUUUCCGAAUGGGGA